This 463-nucleotide ribosomal RNA is filed under the name Candidatus Portiera aleyrodidarum (primary endosymbiont of Bemisia tabaci). RNAcentral describes it as "bacterial SSU rRNA". It matches the Rfam family "Bacterial small subunit ribosomal RNA", at positions 1052 to 1509 of the family's 1533-position model. The record is from RNAcentral. Lineage: Bacteria; Pseudomonadati; Pseudomonadota; Gammaproteobacteria; Johnevansiales (SeqCode); Johnevansiaceae (SeqCode).
UCGUCAGCUCGUGUCGUGAGAUGUUGGGUUAAGUCCCGCAACGAGCGCAACCCUUAUUGUUAGUUACCAGCACGUAAUGGUGGGGACUUUAGCAAGACUGCCAGUGAUAAAUUGGAGGAAGGUGGGGACGACGUCAAAUCAUCAUGCCCCUUAUGACCUGGGCUACAAACGUGAUACAAUGGCUGUUACAAAGGGUAGCUGAAGCGCAAGUUUUUGGCGAAUCUCAAAAAAACAGUCUCAGUUCGGAUUGAAGUCUGCAACUCGACUUCAUGAAGUUGGAAUCGCUAGUAAUCGCGAAUCAGCAUGUCGCGGUGAAUACGUUCUCGGGGUUUGUACACACCGCCCGUCAAACCACGAAAGUUGGCAAUACCCAAAGCCGGUGGCCUAACUUCGCAAGAAGAGGGAACCGUCUAAGGUAGGGUCGAUGAUUGGGGUUAAGUCGUAACAAGGUAUCCCUACCGGA